UAUCCGGAAUUAUUGGGCGUAAAGGGCUCGUAGGCGGUUCGUCGCGUCCGGUGUGAAAGUCCAUCGCUUAACGGUGGAUCCGCGCCGGGUACGGGCGGGCUUGAGUGCGGUAGGGGAGACUGGAAUUCCCGGUGUAACGGUGGAAUGUGUAGAUAUCGGGAAGAACACCAAUGGCGAAGGCAGGUCUCUGGGCCGUCACUGACGCUGAGGAGCGAAAGCGUGGGGAGCGAACAGGAUUAGAUACCCUGGUAGUCCACGCCG
This 261-nucleotide ribosomal RNA is filed under the name uncultured bacterium. RNAcentral describes it as "partial 16S ribosomal RNA". It matches the Rfam family "Bacterial small subunit ribosomal RNA", at positions 542 to 802 of the family's 1533-position model. The record is from RNAcentral.